Molecule: ribosomal RNA, 545 nt
Filed under: uncultured Glomus
Lineage: Eukaryota; Fungi; Glomeromycota; Glomeromycetes; Glomerales; Glomeraceae
Description: SSU rRNA
Rfam family: Eukaryotic small subunit ribosomal RNA
Source: RNAcentral
UUGGAGGGCAAGUCUGGUGCCAGCAGCCGCGGUAAUUCCAGCUCCAAUAGCGUAUAUUAAAGUUGUUGCAGUUAGAAAGCUCGUAGUUGAAUUUCGGGAUUAGUACGUCGGUCGUGCCUUAGGUACGUACUGGUGUUACUGGUUCCUACCUUCUGACGAACCAUCAUGUCAUUAAUUUGGUGUGGUGGGGAAUCAGGACUGUUACUUUGAAAAAAUUAGAGUGUUUAAAGCAGGCUCGCGCUUGAAUACAUUAGCAUGGAAUAAUGAAAUAGGACGUUGAUCCUAUUUUGUUGGUUUCUAGGAUUGACGUAAUGAUUAAUAGGGAUAGUUGGGGGCAUUAGUAUUCAAUUGUCAGAGGUGAAAUUCUUGGAUUUAUUGAAGACUAACUACUGCGAAAGCAUUUGCCAAGGAUGUUUUCAUUAAUCAAGAACGAAAGUUAGGGAUCGAAGACGAUCAGAUACCGUCGUAGUCUUAACCAUAAGCUAUGCCGACUAGGGAUCGGAUGAUGUUAUUUUUAAUGACUCAUUCGGCACCUUACGGGAAAC